AUGUCAGAUGCAAAGCCCCGCACCUCAUUAAGAUCAUAUUGGCAUACUCUCCUAAAAAAAGAGCAGACCCCAUUGAAGACGGGAGUGAGGUACAACAAGGCCAUUUCCGUCCACCUUCUCACGGAGCCGUACGUGGACGUUACCGCUCAUACAGCUCCCGGCCAGCAAGCAGUUAGCUUUCCUCUAGAAGUCAUGGAAGUGUGGAUAAAUCGACAGAAGGUUUUUAUUUCUGAAAAAAUCGCCCUAACCGUCCUAAAUAUGGACGGAGAGCGGUCUUGA
RNAcentral lists this ribosomal RNA (279 nucleotides) under Triticum aestivum (bread wheat). Its description in RNAcentral is "partial small subunit ribosomal RNA". The record is from RNAcentral. Lineage: Eukaryota; Viridiplantae; Streptophyta; Magnoliopsida; Poales; Poaceae.